This 520-nucleotide ribosomal RNA is filed under the name uncultured Glomus. RNAcentral's name for it is "SSU rRNA". It matches the Rfam family "Eukaryotic small subunit ribosomal RNA", at positions 569 to 1092 of the family's 1831-position model. The record is from RNAcentral. Lineage: Eukaryota; Fungi; Glomeromycota; Glomeromycetes; Glomerales; Glomeraceae.
AGCAGCCGCGGUAAUUCCAGCUCCAAUAGCGUAUAUUAAAGUUGUUGCAGUUAAAAAGCUCGUAGUUGAAUUUCGGGAUCAAUAUGUUGGUCGUGCCUUGGUACGUACUAGUUUAUUGGUUUCUUCCUUCUGACGAACCAUGAUGUCAUUAAUUUGGUGUCUUGGGGAAUCAGGACUGUUACUUUGAAAAAAUUAGAGUGUUUAAAGCAGGCUCACGCUUGAAUACAUUAGCAUGGAAUAAUGAAAUAGGACGUUUGAUUCUAUUUUGUUGGUUUCUAGGAUCGACGUAAUGAUUAAUAGGGAUAGUUGGGGGCAUUAGUAUUCAAUUGUCAGAGGUGAAAUUCUUGGAUUUUAUUGAAGACUAACUACUGCGAAAGCAUUUGCCAAGGAUGUUUUCAUUAAUCAAGAACGAAAGUUAGGGGAUCGAAGACGAUCAGAUACCGUCGUAGUCUUAACCAUAAACUAUGCCGACUAGGGAUCGGAUGAUGUUAAUUUUUAAUGACUCAUUCGGCGCCUUACG